GAUGAACGCUGGCGGCGUGCCUAAUACAUGCAAGUCGAGCGAACAGACGAGGAGCUUGCUCCUCUGACGUUAGCGGCGGACGGGUGAGUAACACGUGGAUAACCUACCUAUAAGACUGGGAUAACUUCGGGAAACCGGAGCUAAUACCGGAUAAUAUAUUGAACCGCAUGGUUCAAUAGUUAAAGACGGUUUUGCUGUCACUUAUAGAUGGAUCCGCGCCGCAUUAGCUAGUUGGUAAGGUAACGGCUUACCAAGGCGACGAUGCGUAGCCGACCUGAGAGGGUGAUCGGCCACACUGGAACUGAGACACGGUCCAGACUCCUACGGGAGGCAGCAGUAGGGAAUCUUCCGCAAUGGGCGAAAGCCUGACGGAGCAACGCCGCGUGAGUGAUGAAGGUCUUCGGAUCGUAAAACGCUGUUAUUAGGGAAGAACAAAUGUGUAAGUACCUAUGCACGUCUUGACGGUACCUAAUCAGAAAGCCACGGCUAACUACGUG
RNAcentral lists this ribosomal RNA (497 nucleotides) under uncultured bacterium. Its description in RNAcentral is "partial 16S ribosomal RNA". It matches the Rfam family "Bacterial small subunit ribosomal RNA", at positions 28 to 507 of the family's 1533-position model. The record is from RNAcentral.